GACGAACGCUGGCGGCGUGCCUAAUACAUGCAAGUUGAGCGAUGAAGAUUGGUGCUUGCACCAAUUUGAAGAGCAGCGAACGGGUGAGUAACGCGUGGGGAAUCUGCCUUUGAGCGGGGGACAACAUUUGGAAACGAAUGCUAAUACCGCAUAACAACUUUAAACAUAAGUUUUAAGUUUGAAAGAUGCAAUUGCAUCACUCAAAGAUGAUCCCGCGUUGUAUUAGCUAGUUGGUGAGGUAAAGGCUCACCAAGGCGAUGAUACAUAGCCGACCUGAGAGGGUGAUCGGCCACAUUGGGGCUGAGACACGGCCCAAACUCCUACGGGAGGCAGCAGUAGGGAAUCUUCGGCAAUGGACGAAAGUCUGGCCGAGCGACGCCGCGUGAGUGGAGAAGGUUUUCGGAUCGUAAAGCUCUGUUGGUAGAGAUGAACGUUGGUGAGAGUGGAAAGCUCAUCAAGUGACGGUAACUACACAGAAAGGGACGGCUAACUACGUG
RNAcentral lists this ribosomal RNA (497 nucleotides) under uncultured bacterium. RNAcentral's name for it is "partial 16S ribosomal RNA". It matches the Rfam family "Bacterial small subunit ribosomal RNA", at positions 28 to 507 of the family's 1533-position model. The record is from RNAcentral.